Misgurnus anguillicaudatus (oriental weatherfish) is the source of this 379-nucleotide non-coding RNA. The record is from RefSeq and is a predicted model, not a curated record. NCBI's taxonomy places the organism in Eukaryota, Metazoa, Chordata, Actinopteri, Cypriniformes, Cobitidae.
GCCCAACAUAUUCUGCUCUGAGCUUGACCGACAUCUACCUGAAAAGAGUCAUCAGUCUAGAAAGACAACCAAAAUUGGGAAGACAUCAAAUGCUUUGACUGAAAUCCUAAGAAUCUACGAUUAACAGGAGGUACGUGACAUACACACCAAGUGUAUCAUUUUGUAUCUCCUUCCAGUCUAUCAACAUGAGGACGUCUCGGGGUUCUUCAGGACCUGCACAGACACAUCUGAUGAGCCAGAGCUUUAAGAUGUUGUAAAGGCCCUCCUUACAGUCAUCAUAGAUGACAACACAAGUCCAGUUCACUUCCAGCCUGAGAAAAUCUGUCAUCAUUGAAAGCGAGAUUUGAUCAACCUCUGCAGAUUUACUGAUGCCUUUCUG